AGCUUACAGGCGAAAGCGCCCGGUUGUGGCCCGGGAGAGCGGGUUCGAUUCCCACC
RNAcentral lists this transfer RNA (56 nucleotides) under Armatimonadota bacterium. RNAcentral's name for it is "Armatimonadetes bacterium (groundwater metagenome) tRNA-His". Lineage: Bacteria; Bacillati; Armatimonadota. The record is from RNAcentral.